AUUGAACGCUGGCGGCAGGCUUAACACAUGCAAGUCGAGCGGGGGAAGGUAGCUUGCUACUGGACCUAGCGGCGGACGGGUGAGUAAUGCUUAGGAAUCUGCCUAUUAGUGGGGGACAACAUCUCGAAAGGGAUGCUAAUACCGCAUACGUCCUACGGGAGAAAGCAGGGGAUCUUCGGACCUUGCGCUAAUAGAUGAGCCUAAGUCGGAUUAGCUAGUUGGUGGGGUAAAGGCCUACCAAGGCGACGAUCUGUAGCGGGUCUGAGAGGAUGCUCCGCCACACUGGGACUGAGACACGGCCCAGACUCCUACGGGAGGCAGCAGUGGGGAAUAUUGGACAAUGGGGGGAACCCUGAUCCAGCCAUGCCGCGUGUGUGAAGAAGGCCUUAUGGUUGUAAAGCACUUGAAGCGAGGAGGAGGCUACUCUAGUUAAUACCUAGGGAUAGUGGACGUUACUCGCAGAAUAAGCACCGGCUAACUCUGUGCCAGCCGCCGCAGUAA
Molecule: ribosomal RNA, 501 nt
Filed under: uncultured bacterium
Lineage: Bacteria
Description: partial 16S ribosomal RNA
Rfam family: Bacterial small subunit ribosomal RNA
Source: RNAcentral